Molecule: ribosomal RNA, 489 nt
Filed under: uncultured bacterium
Lineage: Bacteria
Description: partial 16S ribosomal RNA
Rfam family: Bacterial small subunit ribosomal RNA
Source: RNAcentral
UUGAACGCUGGCGGCAGGUCUAACACAUGCAAGUCGAACGGUAACAGGAAGCAGCUUGCUGCUUCGCUGACGAGUGGCGGACGGGUGAGUAAUGUCUGGGAAACUGCCUGAUGGAGGGGGAUAACUACUGGAAACGGUAGCUAAUACCGCAUAACGUCGCAAGACCAAAGAGGGGGACCUUAGGGCCUCUUGCCAUCGGAUGUGCCCAGAUGGGAUUAGCUAGUAGGUGGGGUAACGGCUCACCUAGGCGACGAUCCCUAGCUGGUCUGAGAGGAUGACCAGCCACACUGGAACUGAGACACGGUCCAGACUCCUACGGGAGGCAGCAGUGGGGAAUAUUGCACAAUGGGCGCAAGCCUGAUGCAGCCAUGCCGCGUGUAUGAAGAAGGCCUUCGGGUUGUAAAGUACUUUCAGCGGGGAGGAAGGGAGUAAAGUUAAUACCUUUGCUCAUUGACGUUACCCGCAGAAGAAGCACCGGCUAACUCCGUG